Molecule: ribosomal RNA, 253 nt
Filed under: uncultured bacterium
Lineage: Bacteria
Description: partial 16S ribosomal RNA
Rfam family: Bacterial small subunit ribosomal RNA
Source: RNAcentral
UACAGAGGGUGCAAGCGUUGUUCGGAAUCAUUGGGCGUAAAGGGCGCGUAGGCGGUUUGUCAAGUCGAAUGUGAAAGCCCAGGGCUCAACCUUGGAAGUGCAUCCGAAACUGGCAGACUAGAAUCUCGGAGAGGGUGGUGGAAUUCCCAGUGUAGAGGUGAAAUUCGUAGAUAUUGGGAGGAACACCGGUGGCGAAGGCGACCACCUGGACGAAGAUUGACGCUGAGGCGCGAAAGCGUGGGUAGCAAACAGG